Molecule: ribosomal RNA, 468 nt
Filed under: uncultured bacterium
Lineage: Bacteria
Description: partial 16S ribosomal RNA
Rfam family: Bacterial small subunit ribosomal RNA
Source: RNAcentral
GACGAACGCUGGCGGCGUGCUUAACACAUGCCAGUCGAACGGAAAGGCCCUGCUUUUGUGGGGUGCUCGAGUGGCGAACGGGUGAGUAACACGUGAGUAACCUGCCCUUGACUUUGGGAUAACUUCAGGAAACUGGGGCUAAUACCGGAUAGGAGCUCCUGCUGCAUGGUGGGGGUUGGAAAGUUUCGGCGGUUGGGGAUGGACUCGCGGCUUAUCAGCUUGUUGGUGGGGUAGUGGCUUACCAAGGCUUUGACGGGUAGCCGGCCUGCGAGGGUGACCGGCCACAUUGGGACUGAGAUACGGCCCAGACUCCUACGGGAGGCAGCAGUGGGGAAUAUUGCACAAUGGGCGGAAGCCUGAUGCAGCAACGCCGCGUGCGGGAUGACGGCCUUCGGGUUGUAAACCGCUUUCGCCUGUGACGAAGCGUGAGUGACGGUAAUGGGUAAAGAAGCACCGGCUAACUACGUG